Long non-coding RNA from Nematolebias whitei (Rio pearlfish), 150 nucleotides. RefSeq lists it as uncharacterized. The record is from RefSeq and is a predicted model, not a curated record. The transcript is spliced from 3 exons. Lineage: Eukaryota; Metazoa; Chordata; Actinopteri; Cyprinodontiformes; Rivulidae.
GACCCCCGGGUGUUCCUCUAUCAUUUAAGGAAGAUGGCCAAUUGUUUGUUGAUUCACCCACUCCUUCGAGGACUAAGCAUAAGCCAGUGAUGGACCUGCCAAUGCUGGACCAGGGGGCAGAGAUCUUUAAGACCCUCCACUACCUCAGUA